Molecule: ribosomal RNA, 430 nt
Filed under: bacterium
Lineage: Bacteria
Description: partial 16S ribosomal RNA
Rfam family: Bacterial small subunit ribosomal RNA
Source: RNAcentral
UGGGGAAUAUUGGACAAUGGGCGCAAGCCUGAUCCAGCCAUGCCGCGUGUGUGAAGAAGGCCUUUUGGUUGUAAAGCACUUUAAGCGAGGAGGAGGCUACUUGGAUUAAUACUCUAAGAUAGUGGACGUUACUCGCAGAAUAAGCACCGGCUAACUCUGUGCCAGCAGCCGCGGUAAUACAGAGGGUGCGAGCGUUAAUCGGAUUUACUGGGCGUAAAGCGUGCGUAGGCGGCUUCUUAAGUCGGAUGUGAAAUCCCUGAGCUUAACUUAGGAAUUGCAUUCGAUACUGGGAAGCUAGAGUUUGGGAGAGGAUGGUAGAAUUCCAGGUGUAGCGGUGAAAUGCGUAGAGAUCUGGAGGAAUACCGAUGGCGAAGGCAGCCAUCUGGCCUAAUACUGACGCUGAGGUACGAAAGCAUGGGGAGCAAACAGG